Molecule: long non-coding RNA, 386 nt
Organism: Uloborus diversus
Lineage: Eukaryota; Metazoa; Arthropoda; Arachnida; Araneae; Uloboridae
Exons: 3
Source: RefSeq, a predicted model, not a curated record
GCAAAACAAGCGGCGCGCUUUUCAUAAUUAACUUUCUCUCAUUUAUUGCUGGUAAUUGGGUGACUUUAAGGUUGUAUCAUUAGUUUUUAUGCUGUGGAUUGGAAAAAAGAUAUGAAAUAGCUCGACUGUAUGGACUAUGAAUAACUUAAACAUUAAACGCAUGAAGCGGUUAUUUGAUUUUCUUCUUUACUUAGAGCCAAAAGUGUUCUUUCAAUCUCUGCAGAAUCAGAUAAAGAGAAAAAAGGAAAUCGAGUACUUCCACGAAAGUGAAAGAUCAAAUUAAAGUCGAGAUGAACUGGGGAAGUAGCUGUGGAGCGAAUGGUGAGCUGCCAUCGACGUCCAAGCGUCAAUUCGAAUAUGGGGAAGGACAACGUCCCACACGCAAG